Podarcis lilfordi (Lilford's wall lizard) is the source of this 99-nucleotide non-coding RNA. NCBI's taxonomy places the organism in Eukaryota, Metazoa, Chordata, Lepidosauria, Squamata, Lacertidae. The record is from the annotation of a GenBank genome assembly.
GUCCAAACUGCCCCAAUAACACAGAAAGAUGGGGGUGGGGGCGAGUAGAGCAUGAGAUUCUUAAUCUCAGGGUCGUGCGUUCAAGCCCCACGUUGGGCA